AAAUAAGAAGUAAAAUAUUACAUUUAGUUUCGACCUAAAAACAUGGUGAUAAAUCACCCUUAUUUA
Molecule: transfer RNA, 66 nt
Filed under: Bembidion varium
Lineage: Eukaryota; Metazoa; Arthropoda; Insecta; Coleoptera; Carabidae
Description: tRNA-Arg
Source: RNAcentral